Molecule: ribosomal RNA, 505 nt
Filed under: uncultured bacterium
Lineage: Bacteria
Description: partial 16S ribosomal RNA
Rfam family: Bacterial small subunit ribosomal RNA
Source: RNAcentral
AGUGAACGCUGGCGGUAGGCCUAACACAUGCAAGUCGAACGGCAGCACAGGAGAGCUUGCUCUCUGGGUGGCGAGUGGCGGACGGGUGAGGAAUACAUCGGAAUCUACUCUGUCGUGGGGGAUAACGUAGGGAAACUUACGCUAAUACCGCAUACGACCUACGGGUGAAAGCAGGGGAUCUUCGGACCUUGCGCGAUUGAAUGAGCCGAUGUCGGAUUAGCUAGUUGGCGGGGUAAAGGCCCACCAAGGCGACGAUCCGUAGCUGGUCUGAGCGGAUGAUCAGCCACACUGGAACUGAGACACGGUCCAGACUCCUACGGGAGGAAGCAGUGGGGAAUAUUGGACAAUGGGCGCAAGCCUGAUCCAGCCAUACCGCGUGGGUGAAGAAGGCCUUCGGGUUGUAAAGCCCUUUUGUUGGGAAAAAAUCCAGCUGGCUAAUACCCGGUUGGGAUGACGGUACCCAAAGAAUAAGCACCGGCUAACUUCGUGCCAGCCGCCGCCGUAA